GGGGUUGACGGUACCCUACUAGAAAGGAGCCGCUAACUUCGUGCCAGAAGCGUCGGUAAUACGGGGGCUCCAAGCGUUAUCCGGUGUUAUUGGGCGUAAAGAGUCGUGUAGGUGGUUGGGUAAGUUAUCUUUCAAAUAUCUUUGCUUAACAAAGAGGAGGGGGAUAAUACUGCUCGACUAGAAUUUUCUCAAGGGAGAUCGGAACUGAGGGAGGAGUAGUGAAAUGCGUUGAUACCCUCGGGAACACCAGUGGCGUAGGCGGAUCUCUGGGAGAAGAUUGACACUGAGACACGAAAGCUAGGGGAGCGAAGCAGAUUAGAGACCUGCGUAGUCCUAGCCGUAAACGCAUGCUUGCUAGCUGCAUGAAUCUACCUUCGGGUGGUAUCGUGUGGCGAAGGUAACCCGUUAAGCAAGCCGCCUGGAAAGUACGGCCGCAAGGCUGAAAUUCAAAGGAAUUGGCGGGGAGGCACACAGCCAGUGGAACAUGUGGUUUAAUUCGAGACUAACCGAAGAACCUCACCAGGGUUUGACAUGUAGCUGCACGUCUUAAGAAAUUAAGACUCUCUUGAAGGUGCUACACAGGUGCUGCAUGGCUGUCGUCAGCUCGUUCCGUGAGGAGUGCCCUUAAGUGGGACAACGAGCGCAACCCCUAUUACAUGUUAGAAAUGUCAUGUAAGACUGCCUUGCCAUUUGGCGGGGAGGAAGGAGGGGCAGACGUCAAGUCCGCAUGGUCCUUAUGCCCUGGGCUACACACAUGUUACAAUGAGUACGGCAAUGAGUCUGUCGCGAGCACGUAAGUGUAAGCUAAUCUCUUAAAUGUACUCUCAGUGGGGAUUGAGGUCUGCAACUCGACCUCAUGAACACGGAAUUGGUAGUAAUCGCGGGUCAGCUAUACCGCGGUGAUACGUUCUUGCCUCUUGCACACACCGCCCGUCAAACCAGCAAAGUCGAUUGUAUCCGAACCUCUCUUUU
This 972-nucleotide ribosomal RNA is filed under the name uncultured organism. RNAcentral's name for it is "bacterial SSU rRNA". It matches the Rfam family "Bacterial small subunit ribosomal RNA", at positions 465 to 1435 of the family's 1533-position model. The record is from RNAcentral.